UACGGAGGAUGCAAGCGUUAUCCGGAUUCAUUGGGUUUAAAGGGUGCGCAGGCGGAUGCGUAAGUCAGUGGUGAAAUCCUACGGCUCAACCGUAGAACUGCCAUUGAUACUGCACGUCUUGAGUCUAGUUGAAGUGGGCGGAAUGUAGCAUGUAGCGGUGAAAUGCAUAGAUAUGCUACAGAACACCUAUUGCGAAGGCAGCUCACUAAACUAUAACUGACGCUCAUGCACGAAAGCGUGGGGAGCAAACAGGAUUAGAUACCCGCGUAGU
Molecule: ribosomal RNA, 271 nt
Filed under: uncultured bacterium
Lineage: Bacteria
Description: partial 16S ribosomal RNA
Rfam family: Bacterial small subunit ribosomal RNA
Source: RNAcentral